GACGAACGCUGGCGGCGUGCCUAAUACAUGCAAGUUGAGCGCUGAAGGUUGGUACUUGUACCAACUGGAUGAGCAGCGAACGGGUGAGUAACGCGUGGGGAAUCUGCCUUUGAGCGGGGGACAACAUUUGGAAACGAAUGCUAAUACCGCAUAAAAACUUUAAACACAAGUUUUAAGUUUGAAAGAUGCAAUUGCAUCACUCAAAGAUGAUCCCGCGUUGUAUUAGCUAGUUGGUGGGGUAAAGGCUCACCAAGGCGAUGAUACAUAGCCGACCUGAGAGGGUGAUCGGCCACAUUGGGACUGAGACACGGCCCAAACUCCUACGGGAGGCAGCAGUAGGGAAUCUUCGGCAAUGGACGAAAGUCUGACCGAGCAACGCCGCGUGAGUGAAGAAGGUUUUCGGAUCGUAAAACUCUGUUGGUAGAGAAGAACGUUGGUGAGAGUGGAAAGCUCAUCAAGUGACGGUAACUACCCAGAAAGGGACGGCUAACUACGUG
This 497-nucleotide ribosomal RNA is filed under the name uncultured bacterium. RNAcentral describes it as "partial 16S ribosomal RNA". It matches the Rfam family "Bacterial small subunit ribosomal RNA", at positions 28 to 507 of the family's 1533-position model. The record is from RNAcentral.